RNAcentral lists this ribosomal RNA (424 nucleotides) under uncultured bacterium. RNAcentral describes it as "bacterial SSU rRNA". It matches the Rfam family "Bacterial small subunit ribosomal RNA", at positions 608 to 1028 of the family's 1533-position model. The record is from RNAcentral.
CUCAACCCCGGACAUGCAGACGAUACUGGCGGACUAGAGAAUGGUAGAGGCAAGCGGAAUUCCUGGUGUAGCGGUGGAAUGCGUAGAUAUCAGGAAGAACACCUGUGGCGAAGGCGGCUUGCUGGGCCAUUUCUGACGCUCAUCCGCGAAAGCGUGGGGAGCAAACAGGAUUAGAUACCCUGGUAGUCCACGCCGUAAACGAUGGGCACUAGAUGCCGGGUCUCUAGACGGAUUCGGUGUCGCAGCUAACGCAUUAAGUGCCCCGCCUGGGGAGUACGGCCGCAAGGCUGAAACUCAAAGGAAUUGACGGGGGCCCGCACAAGCGGUGGGGCAUGUGGUUUAAUUCGAAGCAACGCGAAGAACCUUACCUGGGCUUGACAUCCUAGUGAAAGUCCCUGGAAACAGGGGUGUUCCUUCGGGACAC